CAGCCUCGGGCCCCACCCACGAUGCACACACGCCCAACCCACGCGCACACCCACCCACAUUGGAUCCAAUCUCUCUCGUCUUCCUCGAUCCCCUUUCUCCACCCCACGCCGCCGCUAGAUUUCGGCGAUCCCCGCCAUUCCCCACCGUCCAGCUCUCCUCCCCGAGGUCACCUCUCCCUGCUCACCAUCUCCACCGACCGGUUUCUCUCCUCGCCCAGGAGAGUCCCGCCUCCUCGCCGCCAAGGCCGCCGCCGCCCGCCGCCUCGAGCGGCGCCGCCUCCUCCUCGAGCACCGCGCCAUAGACCUCGCCUCCCGCGCCCUCGCCGCCCGCGCUGACAUCAAUGCCACCCACGCGCGCCGCCUCGCCGUCGCCCGCGACAUCAGCUCGACCAACGGCGAGAUCGAGGACGCGCGGCAGAAGGCGGAGGAGUGGGACCGCUUCUAUGAGUCCAAGAGGAAGGAGAUGGAGGAGUUCCGACCGUCGUCUCCACAGCCUCCAUCCACCCCGGCCGCAGCCACUUCUCAACCCCACGAGCAGCCUCCUGGCCUAGUUCCUCAUCACCGUUCUCCUCCCGGUCCCUGUCCACCUCCGCCUCCACCUUGUGGUCCCAGAGGCGACGAUUCCCCGUCGCCUCGGCCGCCGUAGAGCUCUGCGAGGCCGCCGCGGGUGGUGGAGACUCCGUCCGCGUCAUCAAGACACCGCAGCCCAACUCAAGUGUUAAGUUUAGCGUGGAGGUGCCUCCCUUGAUAUGCCAGGAGUGCUACCAAACAACUCUUCUCGAGUACUCAAAGCGUUUUGAGUAAUCAUGAACUGCAGAUACAGAGUUCCGGGCGAUGUCACAGCGGGAGCUCGUCAGGAAGUGCAGAGGCUCAAGGCCUCUGUGUCUCACCUGCAGACAGCCCUGCAGGAGCUGCAGAGCAGCGGGUUGCACUCGGAAGACGCCGGGAUUGGGGCUGCGGAAGCUAGGAAGGCCGACCUCAUGGAUAAGAAGGCCAAGCUGGACGAGACCCUGGCUGCAGCCCGCCAGUUCAGAGCACUGCUUCGGCAGUAGCUCCAGAAAGCCUUCACGUCACAGGUUAGGGAUCAAAAGGCAGCACAGAACUGACUAGUUAUGUGGUACAAGCAAAACGACAUUCAUUAGCUAGCUCAUCAAUCGCUUCGGAUUAAGGAUGCAAUGCAAGUGUGGCGGGCUAGUGGACAGUAACAUAGUAGUACAAAUGUAGUGUUACUUUUAGGCAAAUGUUGAGCAAAUUUUGAACUAAUGGAUGAGUUUCAUGGGACGAAGCGGGCUGCCACUUGCACUCCUCCUACUGAUGAAACGAACUUCAAAUGACUCUACAUGCAGAUACAUGCUUUUUAUUUCAGUCUUGUUUAGAGGAGGCCCCGGUAGUGUCGAGCUGCUGUUGCUGCGGGCACAGCGACGUCGGCGUGGUCGGGAUGGUCGCAGCCCUUCAAAAUUCUCAACGGCGGCGUCUCGGCGCUGAUGGCAGAGUCGACGGCGAGCAUCGGCGGGUACAGAUGGAGUAGGAGGACGAGCAACAACAGCAAAUCAGCCUGAUGAUGACGGGGUGCGGAAGGCAAUGGUGAUCAUGCUGAUGGCAUGAAGAAGGCGAAUGACCACAACCUGGACCUUUUGGCAUUUAGAGAUGGCAAACACAGGCGGCGCGGAGACAACAACCUGGACCACCCACCCCCCUUGCCUUUUUAAUUUUGGUUGUGGUGGUUGCAUCACCGUCGCGGUCGCAAAUCAGUAUGUAGUGUGCUUGUGGAGUUGGGUCUGGACUGCAGUGUCCAUCCAGUAGGUUAGGUGUUGUUGCUACUAGAUCCCAUGAUGCUCACCUAAGUUUUGUGUUAUGUGGAGGCCAACCUUUGUGAUCUUAUUUGUCGACACUUGUGUGAUCUCGUCUUACUUUGUGAUACAAGUUGUA
RNAcentral lists this ribosomal RNA (1929 nucleotides) under Triticum aestivum (bread wheat). Its description in RNAcentral is "partial small subunit ribosomal RNA". Lineage: Eukaryota; Viridiplantae; Streptophyta; Magnoliopsida; Poales; Poaceae. The record is from RNAcentral.